RNAcentral lists this unclassified non-coding RNA (277 nucleotides) under uncultured fungus. Its description in RNAcentral is "partial contains 5.8S ribosomal RNA, internal transcribed spacer 2, and large subunit ribosomal RNA". The stretch from base 1 to 52 matches the Rfam family "5.8S ribosomal RNA", at positions 103 to 154 of the family's 154-position model. The record is from RNAcentral. Lineage: Eukaryota; Fungi.
AACGCACAUUGCGCCCGCCAGUACUCUGGCGGGCAUGCCUGUCCGAGCGUCAUUUCAACCCUCGAGCCCCCGGCCCUUCGCCGCGGGGCUCGGCGUUGGGGAUCGGCCCUGCGCCCCCGGGCGCGGGCGCCGUCCCCGAAAUCCAGUGGCGGUCCCGCCGUCGCUCCCCUGCGUAGUAGCACACCUCGCACCGGAGCGGCGGCGCCGGCCUCGCCGUGAAACCCCCCAACUUCUGACGGUUGACCUCGGAUCAGGUAGGACUACCCGCUGAACUUAA